AUUGAACGCUGGCGGCAUGCUUUACACAUGCAAGUCGAACGGUAGAGGGGGCAACCCCUUGAGAGUGGCGAACGGGUGAGUAAUGCAUCGGAACGUGCCCAGUCGUGGGGGAUAACUACUCGAAAGAGUGGCUAAUACCGCAUACGACCUGAGGGUGAAAGCGGGGGGACCGAAAGGCCUCGCGCGAUUGGAGCGGCCGAUGUCAGAUUAGGUAGUUGGUGGGGUAAAGGCCUACCAAGCCUGCGAUCUGUAGCUGGUCUGAGAGGACGACCAGCCACACUGGGACUGAGACACGGCCCAGACUCCUACGGGAGGCAGCAGUGGGGAAUAUUGCACAAUGGGCGAAAGCCUGAUGCAGCAAUGCCGCGUGUGUGAAGAAGGCCUGCGGGUUGUAAAGCACUU
Molecule: ribosomal RNA, 402 nt
Filed under: uncultured bacterium
Lineage: Bacteria
Description: bacterial SSU rRNA
Rfam family: Bacterial small subunit ribosomal RNA
Source: RNAcentral